This 492-nucleotide ribosomal RNA is filed under the name uncultured bacterium. RNAcentral's name for it is "partial 16S ribosomal RNA". It matches the Rfam family "Bacterial small subunit ribosomal RNA", at positions 29 to 507 of the family's 1533-position model. The record is from RNAcentral.
AGUGAACGCUGGCGGUAGGCCUAACACAUGCAAGUCGAACGGCAGCACAGCAAGAGCUUGCUCUUACGGGUGGCGAGUGGCGGACGGGUGAGGAAUACAUCGGAAUCUACUUUUUCGUGGGGGACAACGUAGGGAAACUUACGCUAAUACCGCAUACGACCUACGGGUGAAAGCAGGGGAUCUUCGGACCUUGCGCGAUUGAAUGAGCCGAUGUCGGAUUAGCUAGUUGGCGGGGUAAAGGCCCACCAAGGCGACGAUCCGUAGCUGGUCUGAGAGGAUGAUCGGCCACACUGGAACUGAGACACGGUCCAGACUCCUACGGGAGGCAGCAGUGGGGAAUAUUGGACAAUGGGCGCAAGCCUGAUCCAGCCAUACCGCGUGGGUGAAGAAGGCCUUCGGGUUGUAAAGCCCUUUUGUUGGGAAAGAAAAGCAGCAGGUUAAUACCCCGCUGUUCUGACGGUACCCAAAGAAUAAGCACCGGCUAACUUCGUG